AGUGAACGCUGGCGGUAUGCCUAACACAUGCAAGUCGAACGGCAGCACAGUAAGAGCUUGCUCUUACGGGUGGCGAGUGGCGGACGGGUGAGGAAUGCAUCGGAAUCUACUUUUUCGUGGGGGAUAACGUAGGGACACUUACGCUAAUACCGCAUACGACCUACGGGUGAAAGCAGGGGAUCUUCGCACCUUGCGCGAUUGAUUGAGCCGAUGUCGGAUUAGCUAGUUGGCGGGGUAAAGGCCCACCAAGGCGACGAUCCGUAGCUGGUCUGAGAGGAUGAUCAGCCACACUGGAACUGAGACACGGUCCAGACUCCUACGGGAGGCAGCAGUGGGGAAUAUUGGACAAUGGGCGCAAGCCUGAUCCAGCAAUACCGCGUGGGUGAAGAAGGCCUUCGGGUUGUAAAGCCCUUUUGUUGGGAAAGAAAAGCAGCAGGUUAAUACCCCGCUGUUCUGACGGUACCCAAAGAAUAAGCACCGGCUAACUUCGUG
RNAcentral lists this ribosomal RNA (492 nucleotides) under uncultured bacterium. RNAcentral describes it as "partial 16S ribosomal RNA". It matches the Rfam family "Bacterial small subunit ribosomal RNA", at positions 29 to 507 of the family's 1533-position model. The record is from RNAcentral.